AAAAACAUGUCUUUUAGAAAUUAAUUUAAAGUCUAGCCUGCCCACUGAAAAUUUUUAAAUGGCCGCAGUAUUCUAACUGUGCAAAGGUAGCAUAAUCAUUAGUCUUUUAAUUGAAGGCUGGAAUGAAUGGUUGGAUGAAAUAUUAACUGUUUCAUAAAAAUUUAUGAUAGAAUUUUAUUUUUUAGUCAAAAAGCUAAAAUAUUAUUAAAAGACGAGAAGACCCUAUAAAUCUUUAUAUUUAAAAAAUUUAAAUUAUAAAGAAAAAUUGAAUUUAAAUUUUAAAAAAUAUUUUAUUGGGGUGAUAUUAAAAUUUAAUAAACUUUUAAUUUAUUAUUUACAUUAAUUAAUGAAUUUUUGAUCCAUUUAUUAUGAUUAAAAAAUUAAGUUACUUUAGGGAUAACAGCGUAAUUUUUUUAGAGAGUUCAUAUUGAUAAAAAAGAUUGCGACCUCGAUGUUGGAUUAAGAUACAGUUUUAGGUGCAGCAGCUUAAACUUAAAGUCUGUUCGACUUUUAAAUUCUUACAUGAUCUG
Molecule: ribosomal RNA, 530 nt
Filed under: Myriophora inaequalisetarum
Lineage: Eukaryota; Metazoa; Arthropoda; Insecta; Diptera; Phoridae
Description: partial 16S ribosomal RNA
Rfam family: Bacterial large subunit ribosomal RNA (bases 396-530)
Source: RNAcentral